GUCUACAUUAGAUACCCCGGUAGUCCCAGCCGUAAACUAUGCGCGUUAGGUGUAUCGGUGACCACGAGUCACCGAGGUGCCGAAGGGAAACCGUGAAACGUGCCGCCUGGGAAGUACGGUCGCAAGGCUGAAACUUAAGGAAUUGGCGGGGGAGCACCACAACGGGUGGAGCCUGCGGUUUAAUUGGACUCAACGCCGGGAAGCUCACCGGAUAAGACAGCGGAAUGAUUGCCGGGCUGAAGACUCUGCAUGACUAGCUG
RNAcentral lists this ribosomal RNA (260 nucleotides) under uncultured archaeon. RNAcentral's name for it is "partial 16S ribosomal RNA". It matches the Rfam family "Archaeal small subunit ribosomal RNA", at positions 722 to 982 of the family's 1478-position model. The record is from RNAcentral.